RNAcentral lists this ribosomal RNA (27 nucleotides) under Trypanosoma rangeli. Its description in RNAcentral is "partial 28S ribosomal RNA". Lineage: Eukaryota; Euglenozoa; Kinetoplastea; Trypanosomatida; Trypanosomatidae. The record is from RNAcentral.
CAGACCUGAGUGUGCAGAUACCCGCAA